CCUACGGGUGGCAGCAGUGGGGAAUAUUGCACAAUGGGGGAAACCCUGAUGCAGCGACGCCGCGUGAGCGAUGAAGUAUUUCGGUAUGUAAAGCUCUAUCAGCAGGGAAGAAGAUGACGGUACCUGACUAAGAAGCCCCGGCUAACUACGUGCCAGCAGCCGCGGUAAUACGUAGGGGGCAAGCGUUAUCCGGAUUUACUGGGUGUAAAGGGAGCGUAGACGGCGAUGCAAGCCAGAUGUGAAAGCCCGGGGCUCAACCCCGGGACUGCAUUUGGAACUGUGUGGCUGGAGUGAUGGAGAGGCAGGCGGAAUUCCGUGUGUAGCGGUGAAAUGCGUAGAUAUACGGAGGAACACCAGUGGCGAAGGCGGCCUGCUGGACAUUAACUGACGCUGAGGCGCGAAAGCGUGGGGAGCAAACAGGAUUAGAUACCCCAGUAGUC
This 440-nucleotide ribosomal RNA is filed under the name uncultured bacterium. RNAcentral's name for it is "partial 16S ribosomal RNA". It matches the Rfam family "Bacterial small subunit ribosomal RNA", at positions 338 to 795 of the family's 1533-position model. The record is from RNAcentral.